Ochotona princeps (American pika) is the source of this 97-nucleotide ribosomal RNA. NCBI's taxonomy places the organism in Eukaryota, Metazoa, Chordata, Mammalia, Lagomorpha, Ochotonidae. The record is from Ensembl.
AUCUAUGGCCAUACCACCCGGAACGCGCCCAUCUCGUCUGAUCUCGGAAGCUAAGCAGGGUCGGGCCUGGUUAAUACUUGGAUGGUAGAAAUAAAUG